UCGAGCAUUUGGGGAAAAGAGUAUUUAGAAAGUUUAUUUUGCCAAGGUUGGGGAUGCUUGUGCAUGACACAGCCUCAGGGUGUCCUGAUGACAGCUGCCCAAGGUGGUCAGAGCACAGCUUGGUUUUGUUAGAGAUAAAUGCUCGGUGUCGCAAAGUGAAACCAGCACUCAAGCGAAAGUUUUCUCAGCAAUGCAAUUUACCUCUGCAGAAGCGUGCUGCUCGCAUCAGUCACAAUCGCAAGAGCACACGGAACAAAGGAAAGCAGGGGUUUUUAUUCCUGACGCAAUCCCUACCUCUGGCAUGGGCUGGGGCCGGACCUCAAGAUCUAAACUGACCCCGUCGGCUAUUUGCGAAUAUUUUCCCAAAUAAGGAAGGGGGAAGGGGGAUGUGAGUUACAAUGGUGGGACCUGUGGUUUCGAAGGGAGAAAUGGGUGCAGAGCAGGUAACCAAGGGAACAGAUGUGAGUGAUCGAUUAGAACUGACGGGGGGAAGGUUGUUUACAGUAACUAAGGGCAAGGAGGCAUGGAGAACAAGAAAGUUGAGUUCGAGAACAAAACACAAGAACGUUAACAUGCCAAACCUUGGAAGAGAAACUGACUGUAUCUGACAGUUUUAUACAUUUUAGGGAGACAGGAGACAUCAAUCAACAUAUGUAAGAUGAACACUGGUUUGAUCCGGUACAACCAGAAGCAAAAGUGGGUCAACUCGAAGCCAGGAGGGGGCUUCCAGGUCACAGAAACGGGGUCUCCCUUGGUUGCCCAGGCUGGUCUCUGGUGCCCAAGGCGGGGCUCCCCGUAAUGUCUACAAAUAAUCCAGUGAAGGAACACCAGAGCGUGGAAAGCGGAGGACGACCGACAAAGGACUCCCCAUCUACAGAUGCGGACGCGCCUUGGGAGAGAAGCCAGGCACAGUGAAGGAAAUAGCAAUGGCGGUUAUUAAUUAAAAAAAAAAUACAUACAUAUAAUAGAGACAAACAGAGGGGCACAUGUGGGAAGGAGAGUUUCUGGAAUGCCAGAUGAGUUGGUCUCCCCUGUGUGAGACAUCCGUGGGGAGCCAUGGGCGGCCUCUGAGGAGAAAAGUCUCCUGAUUGCCUUCAUGUCUUUAUGCCCCACAGUGGAACAGCUCAGCCGCAUGCUACCGGUGCUCGGGGAGAUAACACUCCGUUGAAGCGGAGUAUAAUCAAACAUCUUGGCUCCUCCUGAAACCCACUCCCACCCAUUUCAGUCCUGAUCUUAAGUUAAAGAUCUUAAGUAGUUUAGACACACGCCUUUGCUCAAGGAAAAUUCGCAGAAACCGCCACUGCUAUACACCUUAUCGAAUGACUCACGAGUUCUCCUUCAGUAUUUAAUCCUUUCGUCAUCCCUUCUUAGCCCUCCCAUUCGCCCUAAGCACAAAGAGCUUGUAAACCAAUAAACUGGGUGGAGGCCGAGAGCUCGGGCCGUGAACAAGCCUCGGACGCUCGGUCCCCUGGACCCGCCUUUUAACUCUGAUUCUGUCUCUUUCUAAAUCCUUUGUCUCCGCUGGACUCGGGGUACCCGCCGGCGGUGCGGGGCGGAUUUCCCCAACGGGGCUUGAACUCGUGGGCCCAGGCGCGCCUCCCGCUUGAGUCUCCCAAAUUGUUGGGGUUACAGGCUGAGCCCCCGCCCGGCCAAACGGCCACACAGGACCGACCGUGUCCCGACUGCGCACCCCCGUCCCGCAGCCCGCGCCAGA
Molecule: long non-coding RNA, 1714 nt
Organism: Cercocebus atys (sooty mangabey)
Lineage: Eukaryota; Metazoa; Chordata; Mammalia; Primates; Cercopithecidae
Exons: 3
Source: RefSeq, a predicted model, not a curated record